This 159-nucleotide unclassified non-coding RNA is filed under the name Penicillium sacculum. RNAcentral's name for it is "partial internal transcribed spacer 2". RNAcentral also lists the same sequence under 1 other name. The record is from RNAcentral. Lineage: Eukaryota; Fungi; Ascomycota; Eurotiomycetes; Eurotiales; Aspergillaceae.
CUGCCCUCAAGCCCGGCUUGUGUGUUGGGUCUCGUCCCCCCUCCCGGGGACGGGCCCGAAAGGCAGCGGCGGCACCGCGUCUGGUCCUCGAGCGUAUGGGGCUUUGUCACCCGCUCUGUAGGCCCGGCCGGCGCCUGCCGAUCAACCAAUUUCUUUCCA